Molecule: ribosomal RNA, 497 nt
Filed under: uncultured bacterium
Lineage: Bacteria
Description: bacterial SSU rRNA
Rfam family: Bacterial small subunit ribosomal RNA
Source: RNAcentral
AGAGUUGAUCCUGGCUCAGAACGAACGCUGGUGGCGUGUCUUAUACAUGCAAGUCGAGCGAGGCAGCGAUGCCGAGCGGCGAACGGGUGAGUAACGCGUAAGCAAUCUGCCCCAUAUCAGGAAAUACCCGUGCCAACGCGCGGUUAAUGUCCAGGAGAGUGGCCCUCUGCAUGGAGGGUUGACUAGAGAUUUAUCGGUAUGGGAUGAGCUUGCGUCCGAUUAGCUAGUUGGCGGGGCAACGGCCCACCAAGGCGACGAUCGGUAGCCGGCCUGAGAGGGUGAUCGGCCACAUUGGGACUGAGAUACGGCCCAGACUCCUACGGGAGGCAGCAGUAGGGAAUAUUGCACAAUGGGGGAAACCCUGAUGCAGCAACGCCACGUGUGGGAAGAAGCAUUUCGGUGUGUAAACCACUGUCAUGAGGGAAUAAGGCCCGCCUUCGGACGGGAUUGAAUGUACCUUGAGAGGAAGCACCGGCAAACUUCGUGCCAGCCGCCGC